GACGAACGCUGGCGGCGUGCUUAAUACAUGCAAGUCGAACGGAAAGGCCCUGCUCUUGCGGGGUGCUCGAGUGGCGAACGGGUGAGUAUCACGUGAGUAACCUGCCCUUGACUUUGGGAUAACUUCAGGAAACUCGGGCUAAUAUCGGAUAGGAGCUCCUGAUGCAUGGUGGGGGUUGGAAAGUUUCGGCGGUUGGGGAUGUUCUCGCGGCUUAUCAGCUUGUUGGUGGGGUAGUGGCUUACCAAGUCUUUGACGGCUAGCCGGCCUGGGAGGGUGACCGGCGACAAUGGGACUGCGAUACGGACCAGACUCCUACGGGAGGCAGCAGUGGGGAGUAUUGCACAAUGACCGGAAGCCUGAUGCAGAAACGCCGCGUGCGGGAUGACGGCCUUCGGGUUGUAAACCGCUUUCGCCUGUGACGAAGCGUGCGUGACGGUAACGGGUAAAGAAGCACCGGCUAACUACGUG
This 468-nucleotide ribosomal RNA is filed under the name uncultured bacterium. RNAcentral's name for it is "partial 16S ribosomal RNA". It matches the Rfam family "Bacterial small subunit ribosomal RNA", at positions 28 to 507 of the family's 1533-position model. The record is from RNAcentral.